UGAUCCGUUGUGAUAAGGAACCACACUGGCAAAGCUAUAUUUAUACUGUUCUGCCCCCAAUUUGCAGCUGGGAUAGAGUAUGAGAAAAUAUAGAUUGAUUGGACAGGAGGG
Molecule: long non-coding RNA, 111 nt
Organism: Stegastes partitus (bicolor damselfish)
Lineage: Eukaryota; Metazoa; Chordata; Actinopteri; Pomacentridae
Exons: 3
Source: RefSeq, a predicted model, not a curated record